UACGUAGGGUCCGAGCGUUGUCCGGAAUCACUGGGCUUAAAGUGUGUGUAGGCGGAUCGGUAAGUACCUUGUGAAAUCCCACAGCUUAACUGUGGAACUGCUUGGUAUACUGCCAGUCUUGAGCCACUUAGGGGCUACCGGAACAAAUGGUGGAGCGGUGAAAUGCGUAGAUAUCAUUUGGAACGCCAAUGGUGAAAACAGGUAGCUGGGAGUGUGCUGACGCUGAGACACGAAAGCCAGGGGAGCAAACGGG
This 253-nucleotide ribosomal RNA is filed under the name uncultured bacterium. RNAcentral describes it as "partial 16S ribosomal RNA". It matches the Rfam family "Bacterial small subunit ribosomal RNA", at positions 524 to 776 of the family's 1533-position model. The record is from RNAcentral.